This 73-nucleotide transfer RNA is filed under the name Felis catus (domestic cat). It matches the Rfam family "tRNA". From Rfam's summary of the family: Transfer RNA (tRNA) molecules are approximately 80 nucleotides in length. Their secondary structure includes four short double-helical elements and three loops (D, anti-codon, and T loops). Further hydrogen bonds mediate the characteristic L-shaped molecular structure. tRNAs have two regions of fundamental functional importance: the anti-codon, which is responsible for specific mRNA codon recognition, and the 3' end, to which the tRNAs corresponding amino acid is attached (by aminoacyl-tRNA synthetases). tRNAs cope with the degeneracy of the genetic code in two manners: having more than one tRNA (with a specific anti-codon) for a particular amino acid; and 'wobble' base-pairing, i.e. permitting non-standard base-pairing at the 3rd anti-codon position. Lineage: Eukaryota; Metazoa; Chordata; Mammalia; Carnivora; Felidae. RNAcentral also lists the same sequence under 2 other names. The record is from Rfam by way of RNAcentral.
GCCUGGCUGGCUCAGUUGGUAGAACAUGCGACUCUUGAUCUCCAAGUCGUGAGUUUGAGUCCCAUGUUGGGCA